AUGUCGUCGUCGUCCUUGUCCAAGGCCAGAUUCGAGGGUAAAGGAGGAGGAGGAGCAGGCGGAUCCGGGAGAUCCAUAUCGCUGGCCGCCUCCAGGGCCAAGCUCGCCGCCGCCACCGCCGCCGCCAAGAAAGCCGCUACUACAGCUAGCGGCCGGGGCAAGGCCAAGGCCAAGGCCAAGAAGGUCUUCUCCCUCACCGGCCAGAAGUUCGACACCCCAGAGGAGAGGGAGCCCCUGAGGAUCUUCUACGAAUCGCUCUCCAAGCAGAUCCCAUCCAGCGACAUGGCCGAAUUCUGGUUAAUGGAGCAUGGGCUGUUAUCUCCGGAGAGAGCCAAGAAAGCCUAUGACAGAAAGCUCAAACGGCAGCAGCAGAUCAAAUCAGGGACCCCCAUCAAGUCGCCAAAUUCCACCACUGUCACCAAACACAAACCUGCAGAGAGCUGGAAGAAACCGGUACCACUGGUUUCUUCUUCUUCCACAGCGCGUCACAACACAGAUCAUUCCGCCGCCAAGGCCAAGAGAAGAGUUGAGUACAGCAGCGACGAUGACCACGACGACAAAGAAUUCGUUGUCAAGCUCAAGAGACCCAAUUUCAACUCCAACUCCAAUUCCAAUUCCAGGGGUGGCUGA
RNAcentral lists this ribosomal RNA (630 nucleotides) under Triticum aestivum (bread wheat). Its description in RNAcentral is "partial small subunit ribosomal RNA". Lineage: Eukaryota; Viridiplantae; Streptophyta; Magnoliopsida; Poales; Poaceae. The record is from RNAcentral.